Molecule: ribosomal RNA, 484 nt
Filed under: uncultured bacterium
Lineage: Bacteria
Description: partial 16S ribosomal RNA
Rfam family: Bacterial small subunit ribosomal RNA
Source: RNAcentral
AUUGAACGCUGGCGGCAGGCCUAACACAUGCAAGUCGAGCGGAUGAAGGGAGCUUGCUCCUGGAUUCAGCGGCGGACGGGUGAGUAAUGCCUAGGAAUCUGCCUGGUAGUGGGGGAUAACGUCCGGAAACGGGCGCUGAUACCGCAUACGUCCUGAGGGAGAAAGUGGGGGAUCUUCGGACCCCACGCUAUCAGAUGAGCCUAGGUCGGAUUAGCUAGUUGGUGGGGUAAAGGCCUACCAAGGCGACGAUCCGUAACUGGUCUGAGAGGAUGAUCAGUCACACUGGAACUGAGACACGGUCCAGACUCCUACGGGAGGCAGCAGUGGGGAAUAUUGGACAAUGGGCGAAAGCCUGAUCCAGCCAUGCCGCGUGUGUGAAGAAGGUCUUCGGAUUGUAAAGCACUUUAAGUUGGGAGGAAGGGCAGUAAGUUAAUACCUUGCUGUUUUGACGUUACCAACAGAAUAAGCACCGGCUAACUUCGUG